GAAAUCAUAACUUUCUAAAAUCAAACACAAACACCAUAAGAAAGACGAUAAAAUAUGUAGGGAACAGUGAUGAUUUAGCAUUGGAAGCCAGUAGGAACGUUCCUUGAACAAACGUUGAGGAGCAAGCUAAGGGAAAUUGGGAUGUUAAGGUUGAUGCCUAAAAUGUUAGCUCUGAUAGCGGUGCAAAGGCAUGCAGCAGCUUCGAGGUCGACAAGGCCAUUGAGAAGGGAACAGCAUGGCAUCACUGGGGGUGAACCAACGGUGACAUUGACUAGGUUAAGCACAUUGGCACAUACACCUAAUUUGAGGGCAUCCCUAGGGCACCUGCCUUGUGCAGAUGGAGUAGGAGUGGGGGUGUUGGGGUUUGGGUUUGGCCUUGGUUUAGGGUGGGGUGAAGAGCAAGAGCCACAAGCACUGACUAGGGAAAAAAAGAGAAUGUUGAGUGCCAACAGGAGGACCAUGGAAGCUGAUCUUUUAGAAGCCAUUUUGAUCUUCUCUCAAAACCUUAGUGGCUUGCUUUCUUGGCUUUAGAGUUAAAAAGGUAGAAGUGUUCGAGGAUGGGGAACUUGGAGUGAAGGAAGGGGGGGUUUUAUAGUGUUUUCAAGAAGGCUAGUGGGUUGUUUUUUUAAUGUUAGGUUAAUUGAUGAAAUUGUAGAAUAAAUAUUAAGCUGACUUGUGAAGUUUGGUUGUUUGUGAUUUGUGAGGUGGAAAUUAACACACUACCAUGUUACCAUUGCUCCUAUAGGAUCAAUAAUAUACGUGGAUCUGUCUUAGCCUAACUCUAAAUGAAUACCCUCUUGUAAUGUCCCAUGUUCUUCCAAUAUAUAAGCAUAAUAGUGACAACUUACAAACCGCUAAGUAGAGACAAAAUGGAUUACAAAUUAAUAAUCUCUCUUUGUCAAACCUUUCAUGUUCUUCUUCAGCCAUUAAACUUAAAAUUUAUUCAACUUCCCAAUGCAGUAAUAAACUUACUAUAAGCAGCUAAUGUAUCCAAAACCAACAUUAAAUAAUGGUUUCUACUUUAACUCAUUUAAUCAAAUUGUUUUCCUUAAAAACCAUCUGGUACAAACCAGUUUGAGAUGCUUCCAUAUUAAUAUUCAAUAAUAUUAUUUUGAGAUUAUUAAUAAUUACUGCCAACCAACCUCCUAUUUUCUUAUUUGGUUCAAAAAUGGAUGCAAAGUGUUGGAGAUAUUGGCAUGUUGCCAAUGGAAGUUGUUAUCGCUGGAUUCGACUGGUAUGUCACGGGCGAACUUUAGAGCCUACCGUGGAUUCCACGCAAUUAGCCCUAUUUCUAACUUAAAAUGGAUGCUUAUGUUUAUAUUCAAAUUGAUAUUUUAAAUAUUAACUAAUUAUCUUUCAUCUCACUUUGAUAGUUCAAGUGAUAAAAUUUAUAAGUAGAUUUCAACUAUUAAGUCUCAUCUUAGAUGAUUUAACACAUCACAACGUUAUUUUAUCUAAACUUAUGGCACUAAGCUACUUACCCCUAGGUUUUUAAUGUAACCCGCUAUGUGGCACCUCAAAAUAGGGCAUGACCUGGGGCCUUAGAACGAGACCAAAUAACUUGAAUCUUUUCUCUUCCUAAUUUAUCUCCAGCAUUAUCAUUUCUUUUUUCGUAAGUUACUUGUGAAGAGUUUAUCAUUUUUGGGCGACCGCCCUUGAACGCGUGCUACAAUCUUCAGCAUUUGACAAAUGUGAUUCCACCAUAUGAGGAAGCUAGAUCGUUGAAAUUGAUUGCUUAAACAAAAGCUAUAAUUUCCUAUGGAGAAUACAAAUAUUCAUCGCAUUCGAACAAAAGGUUAUGAAUAUGUAUACUCCUGUAAAUUCCAAUAACUCUAAAAUAUUUAUUAACGGAGCAGAUUAUUACCACAUUAGGAAGAACAAAAGUAUUUAUCAUUCCUGUCAGUACAUAAUUAUAUAUUUAAAAAGAUAAAUGUUUGAAACAAUAAAAGAAAUUCCUUCAAAAUUAGCAUUUUCUCAAACCAAAAACUCUUUCAUUAUAUAUAGUAUGAAUCCAUUGAAAAAUCUUCCAAACUUCUCUGCAAAAAUAUAAAAAUAAAUAAAUAAAACAAUAAGAAAUUGUUGUAGAGCAAAAGAAGACCAAAUUGAUUUAUAUAUUCAUUUUUUUUUCUCUUGAAGUUUGACAAAAUUCCAUAAUUGAGUUUUCCAUUUUCAAACCUUUGGAAAAAAAGGAAAGCAAUAUCCAGAAAAUCCGAAGCAAAUAUAACAGCGAUAAUGAAAUAAUUCUUUUUAUAUUACACAGAUUAGUAUGAAGAAAUUAUGUGUAAAAGGUCUGACUUUAAUCAUCGGCUGCAUCAGGUCUGCUUAGUUUGUUCAGUAUUUUGCCAUCCCGUGAAAAAUUAUAUUUAUAAGUUUUUUUUAAUAAACAUAAUAAUUCAAAAAAUAUAGGACAGAAGCAUAAUCGCAACUUCUCUUUUAUUAAUAUUAGAUAUCCAUUAUGAAUGGUGCAAAAUCCAGCAUAAAUAUCAAAUUUAAUUUAGUGUAAUUGUACAUAUAAAAUAUAAGUUGUGAUAUCUAUUUAUACAAAAGAUUUUGUUUUCUUGUUCAAUUAUACAUAUUAGAAAAAUAAAUAUAUACAUUUAUUUUUAUAUCAGAUUAAAAUACUUGUUUGUGCAUGCAAUAUAUCAAUAUAAAAUGGUGCUAACUUAAUAAUAUUGUUAGUGAUUUGUGAAAAAUUGAAUCAAAUCAAAACUUCAUGUAUAAAAUUGCAUAAAAUCAAAGUUUAUGUGUUGUAUAACAUUGCAUACUGGAUCAAAUCAAAAUUAUUUUGUUAAUUUUCUAUUAUGUUAUUAAUAAAUUACAAAAUUAAUCAUUUGGUAGCUUUAACUAUUAAAAUUAUCAAUUUGCGGCUUGCACUUAUUCCAAGUUAUUAUCCUAUUAGUUGUUCAAACAAAAGUUAGAAUAAAAAAAAAAAAGACAAUUCUGUAAGAAAAAAGUUCAAUACAAAAUAUUUGUUAACACGGUUAAAAUUCAUCAAUUCAACUUUACGAAGCCUCUCCUAGAAAAUGAUUUUACUGCCCGAUCCCAUUAUUGUCUUAAGCCUAACCUACCCUUACAUAAUGGAUGAUUAUAGUCCCAAAAUCGAACAAAAAUUAUUGCAAUCACUCUUCUAAAAAAACUCGCCUACAACCAAGAAUAUCUCUCCAACAAAUACGAAUCAAAAUGCACAAUAACUCUCGAAUUAUCAAGUAAAAGCACUUGAAAAAACUGCCAACCUGUGCCAAAUCAAUGGCAUAUUUUCAAAAAUCAAAUAGCAAGCCUUCAAACUUUAAUCACCAAUCGUUUCAAACUAUAUUAUCCAUCAAAUUUCUCCAAACAAUUGGGUUAGUUUGAAUUCUUGAAAGAUAAGGAUGGAGUUCACACAUCUUUAAAUUCUUCUUUUCUCUUCAAGAGUAUUAUCCAAUAAAUAACAUUAAGCUUGAUCAUAUCUAGCUUCCUAAAUUACCUACAUUUAUUGCCUAAAUAUACUUUAUAAAAUAAUUACUUAAAUUAUAAUACCAACAAAAAUAUAAAUAAUUUAAUUGUCACAAACGGCUCUAUAAUAUCACCAUGAAACAUAGUCCACGUAUCAUUAUAAUUUUUAAAUUACAAGAGAAAAAAAUGAUAGCUUUGACCACAGGUUUGGGGAUAACCAUCACUAAUGUGUUGAAUUAUGAGGAUAAUGUGGUUGAAAUCAAAAUGUAAAGCAAGUCCAGGGAAUCUUUGCCUUUUUUGCAGUCAAAUGAGCUUUUUCUAAUGUCCCUUUUUAGUUUCCCAUUUGAGAUUUCUUACAUCUUCCUCAACAAAGUCUCACUCACGGACUCAAAAACUGUGCUUCCUAAUGAGUCUCAACUCAUAUUGUAUUUAUUAAGUUAAAUAUUAGCUAUGAUGUCUAUAAUAAAAUAAUAUAUAUAACAUUAAAUAAAUUGAGAUCGAUAGAGCUUUCGACAGAACAUCGACGACUCUUGAUACAAUGUUGUACCAUUAAUCUAAAAUGAGAUAUUUGAUGUGGAUAAGGAUGGUGCAUGAGAAUUUUCAAUUUUUCGAGGGAUAUUAGUGGUGUUGGCCUGCGAAAUGUAGUUUCUCGAGAAACAUGGCAAACUAGAUUGCUUUCUAUUGGGUUGAGACAGUAGGUGAAAAUCCCAUUGAUUAUUGAAAUUAGUUUGUGUGUUGCUUUGGAGUGGCUGAUGAAUAAGAAUUAUAAAUUGUGGUCAUUUCGAAAUCUAUUUAUGAUAUUGACUGCGGCAUUAACCAGCUGGAUUGAUUUCAAUUCGCAGUUAUUCACCAGCAGGGUAAAGGUAUGGCUGAUGCUCUGACGAAAGCAGAUAUAUUGAGACCUUCGGUUUUUAAGGCCUGGUGGUAAAUUUUGGUUAUUGUCUUUUAGUACUAUUUGAGUGGAGGGUAUUUGUCUUAGGUCGAGUGUUGUAAUCUUGUUGUCCUUAAAAGAGGUUGCUUUCAUCCAACUUUUUUCUCGGUUUGCUAUAUUUUCAAGAAAAAAAAGAAGAAGAAAUAAAACAAGUUGAAUAAUAUAAGUUUUUUUUCAUAUCCAUUGGAAAUACAAUAAACCCUCGUAGAAAAGCACUUAAAAAAGUAUUAGACUUAUUUUAUAUCAAUCUCCAUAAGAAAAUUUAAACAACAAAGUAACUAAUGAUAACAUUGAUGUACCGUAAAUACUGAAUCAUAAUUUUUAAAAACCAAACACAACCACGAUAAGAAAGAUGAGAAAGAAUGUAGGAACAAUGUUGACUUAGCAUUGGAAACCAGUAGGAACAUUCCUUGAGCAAACGUUGAGAAGCAAGCUAAGGGAAAUUGGGAUGUUAAGGUUGAUGCCUAAGAUGUUAGCUCUGAUAGCGGUGCAAAGGCAAGCAGCGGCUUCGAGGUCCACAAGACCAUUAAGAAGGGAACAACAUGGCAUCACCGGGGGUGAACCAACGGUGACAUUGACUAAGUUAAGCACAUUGGCACAUACACCUAAUUUGAGGGCAUCCCUAGGGCACCUACCUCGUGCAGAUGGAGUAGGGGUGGGAGUUGGCCUUGGGUUAGAGCCAGAAGAAGAACAAGAUCCACAAUUAGCACUGACUAGGGAAAAGAAGAGAAUGUUGAGUGCCAAAAGGAGGGCUAUGGAAGCUGAUCUUUUUGAAUCCAUUUUGAUCUUUUCUCAAAACUUGAAUGGCUUGCUUUCUUGGCUUUAGAGUUAAAAGGUAGAAACGUUUGAGGAUGAGGAACUUGUAGUGAAGGAAGGGGGGUUUUAUAGUGCUUCCAGCAAGGCUAGUGGGUUAUUUUUUAAUGUUAGGCUAAUUGAUCAAAUUGUAGAUUAAAAUCAAUUUGACAUCUGGCUGGUGAAGUUUGGUUGUUUAUGAUCUGUGAGGUGGAAAUUAGCACAGUGCCAUGUUAGAAUGCUCCUAUAGGAUCAAUAUGUGAAUCUAUCAUUCACUAAAUUACAUUAUUUGCAACAGUAUUUUCAUUUAAGUAACAAUUCAAAAACAUCAAAUAAUGUUAAGUUUGUUCUUUUAUGAUAAUUAAUUAUAUUUCAAUUUCAAUUUAUUUUUUUAUACAUAAAUCUAAUGAAUCAUGAAUAAACUCUGUACAUAUAAUCAAGUGUAAAAGACUCGAUGAAUAACUAUUAAGAGAAAAAAAUAUCAUAAAAAAAUGAUAAAAAAAACAAUACAACUAUUACAUUUAAAUUUUAAUGUGAUAGCCUUUCUGAAUAAUAUUGUUUACAAAAUUUAAAUCCAUAUUUUGUUCUUAGAAAUACAAUAUAUCUUACAACAACAUCCGAUACUUAUUAUUGAUGAUAUCAAUUUCUCUUUUUAAGUCUUCUAAACAGCUGUAGUUAAUAAUAUUAUCAUCUUGUUUACUUCAAGUUUAAAUGAAUAUCUCCAUAAUAUUCCAUGUUCUUCCAAAAUAUAAGGACUUACAAACCGCUAAGUAGAGACAAAAUGGGUUACAGAUUAAUAAUCUCUCUUUGUUAAACCUUUCAUGUUCUUCUUCAGCCAUUAGUACCCUCUAAACAGAUUUACUGAACUUCAUUCACAUUAAACUCGUAAUUUAUUCAAAGUUCCCAAGGUUCAACUUAAUUGCACUAAUAAACUUUCUAUAAGGAGCUAAUGGAUCCAAAACCGACAUUAAACAGUGGUUUCUACUUUAGCUCAUUUAAUGGAACUCAAAAGGGUUUUUGUUUUCCUUAAAAAGCACAAGAUUUAAUGGAAACACAGAUCAGUUUGAGAUGCUCCCUUAUUAAUAUUCAAUAAUAUUAUGAGAUUAUUAAUAAUUACAGCCAACCAACCUUUUUUUUCUUUCGGUUCAGAAAUGGCGUAUUGUAGGUGCAAAGUGUUGGAGAUAUUGGCAUGUUGUCUAUGGAUGUUUUGUAGCUGGAUUCGACUGGGAGUGUCACGGGCGAGCUUUAGAACCUACCGUGGAUUCCACGCAAUUACCCCUAUUUCUAAUUAAAAAUGAGCUUAGGUUUUAUGCUUUUAAAUCCAAACUGAUAUUUUAAAUAUUAAUUACUUAUGACUAACAAAUAUAUUUAUUAAUUGUCACAUCAAAAAUUAAUUAUUGUGUCUCAUGUGAUACGACUCAAGACACGUUAUAAGAUCACUUUACCAAAACUUAUGAUACUAGGUCAUUUGUUCUUGACUCGCCAAUAAUAACCCGAUAUGUGGAACCUAAAGACAGGGGACGACAAAUAUAAGGCCUGGCUCUUCCCAAUUUAUCUCCAGCAUCAUCUUCUUCUCUUUCUUCUCCGACCACUCUAUUCAAUAACUCAUCCCUUUGUCCUAAACAAGAUGGAUCACAUAUUUCCGCUACCUACUUAUCCUUAAAAGAAUUAAUGAAUUAAACUCAUAUUAUAAUACUAAAUUUGAUUAUCUCAAUAAUUUAAUUUCCAAAAAUGUUUUAAUUUAAUAAUUUUUAUAUACUAAGACAUUGUUUCACUGCAUUGUUAAGUAAGAAAAUCAACCUCGUUUAUGAGACCUCGAUCCAAUUUUCGCCAGCUUUGACAUAUUUUGAUAAAUGGGAGCAAAAAAAGUCAUUUUAGGGAAUUAAAAUUAAAUUAUAAAUAUUGAUGAUUGAAAUUUUAUUUUAUUAUAAUUUUAAACCCGAUCUUUUAAGUUUAUUUCCUUUUGGCAAUUGUGAUUCCAUCCAAUGAGGAAGAUCAUUGAAAUUGAUUGCUUAAACAAAAGGAAUAAUUCCAAUGAAUCUAAAAUAUUUAUUAAAGAAAAUUUAGGCUUAUAAACUUAUACAUACAAAGUAAAUUGGUUAGUUCAUAAAUAAAAAUAUUGUGAUUAAACUAGUAGAUUGUACAAGCCCAUUUUUGCCCGGGCCCAUAUCAGAAAAUAAACCAAAUUACAAACAGCCCAUUUUCAAAAUUUUGACCCAAUUACAAGCCCAAAAUCCCCAUGGCCCAAUCAAAUUAACCCAGGCCCAAUACAAUUACAAGCCCAAAACCCAUUUUCAAAAUAAAAGAAAGAAACAGAAAAACCCUAGCUCUAGGUGCGCCGCACCUAGGGCCUUCUGACUCUUCCGAUCCUUGACCUACCAACUGCCACUGCCGCGCGUUUGUCACCGCCAUUGUCCCAUCACCGACGCAUGUCAAUCACCUACAGAAGAAAGAUCAACACGCAAACAGCAAAAAUAAUAGGAAAAAUAGAAAACAAACCGGCUAUAAAAAGCCGAAUUCCCUUCUGUAGUUUCUUCCUUUUUUACAACAAUUAAUGAAAGGAGAUAAAAAAAAAACUAAAAAGGUUGAUUCCAAAGUUCUUUUUUGCCUCUGCUCUUACUCUUUUAUUUCUAUCUCCUGUUGUUUGUUUUUUUUACUAUUCUUCUAAACUAAAAAAACAAAACGAAAAGAAAGGAAAAGGGACACUUACUGGUCUUGAAAGCCCGUCGCCGGAGACCACCUUCGGCGUUGGAAUCGGACUGAAAAGGGGGUAGGAAAAACCCCUCCUUUUUCGUUUUUUCGGGACUAAAUGGGUAGAUCUUUAGGGGGGUCGAGAAUGGCGUUAAAAACCCACCUUUUCUUGCCAAGGCCACCUCUCACGGCGGAGCCCCGGCGUUGGUAGCCGGCUGUGGUAUCUGACGGAAAAGGGGAAAGAGAACAGAGAGUUCUCUGUUGUUUUUUUAAAUGUAAUGAAAAUAUUUUUUUUUCUUUAUUUUUUGCUAUUUAUGCAGGCCAUCAUAUGGCGCCAUUUUGGGCUUAAGUUUUAUGACCAAAACGACGCCGUUUCGCCUAAUAACCGAAACCCGACCCGAUGGCCCCCAGGAUUCGCGCGUUUCUGCGGUGAAGGGGAUAUUUGCGCAUAUUUCCCUUUCGCUUUUGUGUGGCUUUGCAAUUUGGUCCUGAAAUCCUUUUUUUUUCUUUACAUUUUGCGGUACAAUUUUAUUUUUUGUUUCAUAUUGGUCCAGAUGUAAACGGUGCGUUUUAAAGGACUGGGAAUAAUUUCCCAUGUAGUCCUCAUUUUAUUCCACCGUAUUUCUGUUGGCCUUUUCUUCUUUUCUUUAUUUGCAAUUUAUACUUUUAAAUUUCAUUAAGAUUUCGAUGCGGUCCCUUUCAUAUUUAUUUCAUUCAUUUUAUUAUAAUUUAGACUUCAAAGUUUAUUUUAAUCUCAAUUUGAUCCUUUAUCCAUUUAAUUUUAAGUUAAUUUUAUCUAUUUAUGCCUUUUUGUCCUGUUUUAUUUAUUUAGUUAUCCCUACAUUUAUUUAUUUAUUUUUCUUGUAUUUAUAGCUUAUUACGUUCUUUUUUUUACUUAUACAUUGUAUUAUUAUUGUCAUCAUUCUUAUUAAUGUUUAAUUCAUUUUUAUGUUCUAGUAUUAGAAUAAGCAAUUAAUAUGGUCAUUGUUAUUAUUUGGUGAUUGUUGUUAUAAUUAUGUCAAUAUUAUUGUUGUAUUUUAUGAUUUAUCAUUUACUUUUUUUUAUAUUCUACUAAUAUAGUUACUUUAUGUUAUUUUAUUAUUAUUGUACUUUGCAUUGUAUAAAGUAAAUGUUAAUCCUCAUACGAAAUUUGCAUAAAUUAAAUUUAUAUCUUGUUAAAUAUUAUACUAACUUUUACUCAAAAUUCAAAGAAGAAAAAUUUUCAAACAAUCAUGUUUAAUCGACCAAACAAUCAUGUUUAACCACAUAUACCAUGUAACCAAGUAAUCAACUAAUUUUUAUGUCUAAUCGCAUUUGUAGAAGCCCAAUUUCACCCGGGCCUAUUACAAACAAAUAAAACACAAAAUAACCCAUUUCCAACAGACCCAAACCCAUUACCAAAAUACCCAAACUAAACCCACCUAAACAGGCCCAAUAGCCUAACCUCGACCCAAACCCAAAAAAUUUUAGGGUUUCAGACCCCUAACUCUCCCUAGCCUAGUGCCGCAACCACCCUUGGUCUUCUGCUCACCUGCUCUGCCAGCAACCAUCGCCAACUGCCACUGUCAUCUCCAUCCACGUGCGCUGAUCCCUGCAAACAAAUCAAGGCAGACAUGACAAGCAUAGGAAAUAGACUAGAAAUCUCAUGUAAAAGCAUAGGAAAUAGACUAGAAAUCUCAUGUAAAUCGGCUAUAAAGCCAAGAAUAUGUAUUGUAAAAUGGCCCUAUCUCUUUUUCACGAUUUCAAGAAAUAAAAAGUAAAAAAAACAGAUUUAAGGACUCUUUGUUUUCGGUAUAAGAUCUAAUUCCUUUUUUUAUUUUUAUUUUUUUCUUCCUUUUGAAACUGUUUAUAUACAUACAUAUAUUUCUUUAGUUUUCUCUUUUAACUAUUAUACAUAUACAUUGAAAAAGAUUUACAAAAAGAAGAAGAAGAAAAAAGCGCACCUUUUCAACUUCCUGGCUAUUGCGGACGGCGGCGCCGUCGCCGGUGACAGGCGGCCUGCGCAGCGGUGGUCGGCCGGAUCUCUGACCGGCAUCUGGAAAGGGGAGAGAGGGCUUGAGAGAAUUUUAGGUUUUUUUUUAAAUAAAAGGCAGAAAAUGAAAUUUUUAAGAAAAAUUUGAUUUAUCUAGGCAUUCAAAACGGCACCGUUUUGGGCAUGCCUCUCAGGCACCAAAACGAUGCCGUUUUGCCUUUAAACCCGAUCCAAUCGACCCGACCCACUCCAAGAUCCGCGUGUUUUUUCUGUCAUGGGAUAUUUGCACCUUUGGCCCCUUCGCAUUUUCGAUUCGUUUCGAUUUUGUCCUUUUGGUUAUUUAUCUAUUUUAUAAAUUUGGCCCCGUUGUUUUGUCCGAUUUUUAAUCAGGUCCCUGACCUAUUUUCGCGCAGAAAAACGGACACGUGUCCAGAUUUUUUUUACCCAUUUGGUCCUUAGACUUUUGCGUUGUCCUUGUUUUAACCCUCAUUUAUUUAUUUUGUUGUAAUUUUACUCUUAAACUUCGUUUUAUUGUGAUUCGGUCCUUAAUUUACUAAUUUCUUUUAAUCCUACAUUUUGGUUAUUUAUUUAUUUGUUUUAAGUUUAUAUAUAUUAUUAUUUUAUAUAUUAUUAUCUAUGUUAAAUUGUUUAAUAUUAUUAAUUUCAAAUUGUCUCAUACAUUUUUAUAAUAUGUAUAUACACGUACAUACUUUUUAUUUAUUAAAUAUUUUUUUAUAUUCCAUAUUUUUAUACACACAUGUAUACGUAUAAAUAUCUAUGUUUUAAUUCAUAUACAUAUAUAUGUACAUAUACAUAUUUAUGUGUUUUAUGUAUAUAUUAUAAUUUGUUUACAUAUCUAUAUAUAUUUUUUUAUAUUUCAUGAUAGUUAUAUGUAUAUGUGCACAUGUUUACUUAUAUAUAUAUUUUAUAUAAUAAUUUUAGAAUACAUAUAUAUAUUUUUCAUGUUUUUAUAAAUUCAUGUGCAUACACCUGUUUUUACAACAUACAUACUUAUAAUUCAUAUAUUUUUUGUAUUCUAUAAUCUACAUAUGUAUACAUGUAAAUACUUAUAUUUUUAUAUCUUAUAAUGCAUAUAUACAUCUUUUAUAUUUCCAUAAUUUCAUGUACAUACAUAUAUAUUUCCCUUAUAUGUACAUACGUGUCCAUAUUUUAUAAUUUUUAUCUAUAUUCCUUUAUUAUUUUUAUGUUCAUUUAUGUAUUUAUUUAUAUGUCCAUUUUUAUGCUUUAGUUUAUUUAUUUAUUUAUUUACUAUGGUAUAUGCAUGAUCGAUUUAUUUUAUUAUUCGUUUUUUGUUCAUUUUUUUAUUCACAUUAUCAUGUUUAUUAUUCCAUUAUGCAUAUAAAUAUCAUAUUUCAAAAAAGGAAAUUUUUUCAAAUAAGGCAAUGUUUUGCGUUUGGAAAUUCGAGAAAACAUGCCCUAAGGUGUUGGGUGUCGAUUUUUCUCGUUCAACCAAAUGGUUAAAUAUCCUUUUAAAAUUUUUAAAAUAAGGCAAUAUUUUGCGUUUGGAAAUUCGAGAAAACGUGCCCUAAGGUGCUGGGUGUCGAUUUUUCUCGUUCAACCAAAUGGCUUAAUAUCCUUUUAAAAAUUUCAAAAUAAGGCAAUGUUUUGCGUUUGGAAAUUCGAGAAACGUGCCCUAAUGUGCUGAGUUUCGAUUUCUCGUUUAACCAAAUUGCCAAAUAUCCUCUUGAAUUUUAAUCCAUGCCAUUCGAGUUUUUUUAAGGAUCGUAUUUUAAAUUUCUUUAAAGUUUUCAAUUUUUCGACAUUAAGACUUUAAGUAAUCAACUAGGUACCAAUUUUGGGCGUAUUGAGGGUGCUAAUCCUUCCUCGUGCGUAACUGACUCCCGAACCUGUUUUUCUGAAUUUCGUAGACCAAAAUCGUUGUAUUAAUAAAAUCAAAUCGUUUAUUAAAAACAACCACUUUUAGAAAUAUGUAAAAAAAUCAAAUCGUUGUAUUAUUAAUAUUUUUUUAUGUAAAAAAAUUCAUUUGUUGAAUAUAUAUUAAUAUAUUGAAUAUUUUAAAUCGAUAUGAUAAAGAUACCAGAUCGAUUUGAAAAUUUAUGCAUGACAAGUAUAAUUAUAUUGAUGAAUUCAACGAUUAAGUCAUUAAAAUAUUAAUCAUAUAAAUAAUUAUAGAAAUAUGUAAAAUUACUUUAAGUUUUACUGUUUAUAAGUAUAUCCCUCCCACGAUUAUAUAAAGCAUUAAAUAAAUUGACAAGGAAACAAGGAGAAAGGAAAUAAAACAAGUUGAAUAAUACAAGUCUUUUAAUGUCCUUUAAAGAUGCAAUAACCCCUCAAAAGAAAACACUUGAUAGAAAAGUAUUAGAUUUAUUAUUUUGUAUCAAUCUCCCCAAGGAAAUUAAAACAACAAAGCUACAGAUGAAAACACUGAUUUAUUGCAAAUAUGAGAAAUUAUAACUUUCUAAUUAGUUUUUCUACCCACUUUCUUUUAUUGAUUUAUUAUCUUUUUCAUCUUAUUAAAAUCAAACACAAACACCAUAAGAAAGAUGAGAAAGAGGGUAGAGAACAUUAAUGAUGACUUAAUUAGCGCAUUGGAAGCCAGAAGGAACGCUGAUUGAGCAACGAUUGAGAACCAAAUUAAAGGAAAGUGGGACAUUAAUGUUGAUGCCUAAGACGUUAGCUCUAAUAGCAGAGCAAAGGCAUGUAGCAGCUUUGAUUUCGAUAAGGCCACCGAGAAGGGAACAACAUGGUGUCGCUUGGGGUAAGCCAAUGGUGACAUUGACUACGCCAAGCAGAUUAGCACAUACAUCUAAUUUGAGGAUAUCAAUAGGGCAACUGCCUUGUGCAGAUGGAGAGGGGGCGAGGUUAGAGCCGGAGGAAGAGGAGGAUGGAAAAGUAGCACUGACUAGGGAAAAGAAGAGAAUGAUAAGUGCCAAAAGGAGGGUCAUGGAAGCUGAUCGUUUUGAAGCCAUUUUAAGCUGGCAAUUGGUUUCUUUGCUUUAGAGUUAAAAAGUAGAAGUGUUUGAGGAUGGAGAACUUGGAGGGAAGGAAUGGGGUUUUAUAAUGUUUCCAACAAGACUAGUGGGUUGUUUUUUAAAUGUUAGGUUAAUUGAUCAAAUUAUGAAAAAAAAAUGAAUUUAAUUUUUUCUCUUACCCAAUAUUCAACAUUUAUUGGUAAUAAUAUUACUUUGUUUAAUUUAAAUUUAGAUAAAUAUCCCCACUAUUCUAUUUUCUUGCAAAAUAUAAGGAUAAUAAUGACAACUGACGAACGGCUAAGUACAGGAAAAAUGGAUUGUAGAUUCAAAACAACAUAAUUAAUCUCUCAUCGUCAAACCUUUCUUGUUCUUCUUCUUCAGCCAUUACCCUCUAAAGAGAUUUAUUGAACUUCAUUCACAUUAAACUCGUAAUGUAUUCAACUACCCAAUGCAGUAAUAAACUUGCUACAAUACGCUAAUGGAUCCAAAACCACAUUAAAUAAUGGUUUAUAUUUUAGAACAUUUAGGCUUGGCUUGUUUACAUGUAAAAGGUUUUACGAAAAAUAUUUUAUGCAGUUUUUCUGUGUUUAUUUUAUAGAAAAUAGCUUGAUAUACAUAAAAUGACUUACAAAUCACCGUAAAAUAAGCUUAUUUUUCCUCUGAAAUAACUUACCAUUUUUUUCAUUUCUUAAGGUAUCUAUUGGAGCAAACCCAAUAACUAAUUCUACACAUUUUUUAAGGGCCCAUUAAGUAGUAGAUGUUGGCCACAAGUUUUAAAACUGCUCCAUACUCAGGGCGAGAAUUGAACAUUCAACUAUUGGUUAAAGUUGUACAGCCCAAAUUUACCCGGGCUCGCACCAAGGCCCAAAACCCAAAAUAACAAACCACCUAAACCCAAACCACUUAAACCCAAAACCCAAUUACAAAGCCCAAAAUUUAAAGCCCAACUACCCAAAUCAGAAAACAACCAAAAAAAAAAAGGUAACCCUAACCCUAGGUGCGCCGCACCUAGGGUCAUCCACUUGCUUCUGCCGCUGCAUGCCCCAUCACCACCUGCACUGGUAGCCGUCGCCGCCACUGUCACGUCGGCCGCCACCAUCAAUUACCUGCAAACGCACAACAAAAGAGAACCAAGCAGAAAAACAAAAAAUAGGAAAAUUUUGUAACAUUGGCUAUAAAAGCCAAAUCUAAUGCUUGUAAAUGGGGGCUCUUUUUCUUUCCUUUUUGUAACAUUUUGACAGGAAUAAAAGCAAAAAAAUCAAAGGUGAUAUCGGGUGUCCCUUUAUUUUGUUGUUUCAACUCCUUUUUAUUUUAUUUUUGUUUAUUUAUUUGUAUAUAUAUAUAAUAAAGAAAAAAAGGGAAAGCUCACCGGGGAUAGGGCUUCGAACGCCGUUCUGGCGUUUCGUCGGCCGUUGGAGGUGGUGGCGGUGCGGCGAGCAGAGAGGCGGCACGACAGGGGCCUUAGAACCCCAAAAGUCAGGCUUAUUGAGAAAAAAAGAGGGUUUUUCGGAAAAUUUUUUUAAAAGGUGCGGCUGAAAUGGGUUUUUUGGGAAAAAUUUGGGUUUAAAUACCCUAAAUUAAACGGCACUAUUUUGCCCUUAGGGGUCAGGUGCCAAAACGACGCUGUUUUGGCCCUGACCCGCUCGGUGACCUGACCCUAAGGGGAGGAUCCGCGUGUUUUCUUAAAAUGGGAUAUUUACGCGCGCAGUCCCUCUGACUUUGCAAAGCGUUGCAAUUUGGCCCUUUUUCGUUAUUUUCUUUUAUUUUAAUUUAGCCACAAUGUUUUAUUUUUGUUUCAAUUUGGUCCACUGAAGCCUUGCGUUUUGGGACUUUGGUUUAUUUACUGUUUUCGGUCCCCCUCUUUCGGCGUGUGUCACAAUUUAGUCCUUUUCGUCUUUUUAUUUCGAAUUCGCCCAGUAUUUUUGUUUUUACUUUGAUUUAGCCCUUUUUAGCAAUUUUAUUAUUUUGUUCAUUGCUUGCUUGUUGCUUCGGUCUUGAAGACAACAUCCCAUUAUUCAAAGCAGUUUUGUAAAUCGUGAGCUCCCCCUUGAGCUCUUCAAUUUCUUUCUUCAUGGCUAACACCAUAUCCUCAAGAUUAUUAUCCCUCUCUGCCAGCUAUUUCGUAGUGGAAUUGACUAAUUCAAUAAUCUUUUUCACAUUGCCACCGAAAGAAUCCAACAUAAAAUCUCUGAGUUGCUCUUCCAUUGAGUUAAUCCCAUCUGUGCGUUCCUCGACCAACUCAAGCAUCUCCUUCAUGUUCCCUACGAACUCCUCGAGAUUAACCACUCGAUUUUCUAAAGCUGUUAGUAUGUCCCUCGAACGACUUAUUUUUCUGGCCCUUUUACGAGUCUACAUUGGCUCAUUCUGAUCAACAACUUCUUUCGACAUCCCAAUGGUGCAUUUGAACCAAUAGCUCGGAUACCACUUGUCACGGGGCUAGAUCUUUCUUCUCGUAAUUCAUGUGGCCUUAGCGAUCCGUUCUCUCCAAAAUCGCCUAAGUCAGCCUUUACUCCCAAAAGUGAGGAUUCCUUUAGAAUUCCUCUAAGGCACCAAUUUGUAUAGCAGAAGCGAUUGUGCUAAAAGAAGCUACAGAUGAACAAUAGAAAGCCAAAGAAAGAAUGCACACAAAGCGUUUGAGUAAAUGCUCAAAGAAUUUUAUUACUCUUAAGAAUUCAACAUACAAUGGAUGAUAUACAGAUGAUGGGGAGGCUCUCUAUUUAUAGUUGAGCUCCCCCAAAAUUGGCGGUUAAAAUCAAAUUACAUCGACGGACAAUAUUAGUCUAUCCCUUGAUUUUAGGGAUUUGCAAGAUUACAUUAUAUCAAAUCAAAUCUAUAAGAUAUGAUUCCCCUACUUACUAAAAAUAGCCUAAGUCGCCAUAUCUUCAUUAUCGGGCCAACCAGGCUUCUCUAAAAGUUCUUUGAAUCGGGCCAGUUCUCGUGGGCUAAAUGUUCCUCAUCUAAUCGAUAGACCUCCAUGGGGCGCAUCUUGUGCCAUGGUCACGGGCUUUGCACUUUGGCCCGUGACACUAGAAAGUGGUGAUUCCAAUAACUACUAUGCUUUAAAUAUUAGACUGGAAAAUUUUAUGUGUACUGUAUUUUAAAUGUUAGGUUGAAAUUGUUAAGCUAGAACUAAACUAGUACAGUUCUAUGCUAUAAAUGUUAGGUUGGAAAAUGUUAGGCAUCCUAUGUUUUAAAUGUUAGGUUGAAUUGUUAGUCUAGAAGUAGAGGUGAGCGAUCGACCGAAUCGAAUCAAAUUGAAUGAAAAUUUUCGAAUUAAUCGAAUUAACAAAUCUUAUUUUGUCAUCUUAACUCAAUUUGAAAUUUUCUCAAAUCGAGUCAAGUGAGAUGAAAUUCAAAUCAAAUCGAAUAUAUUUGUUCAAGUUAAAUUAAAAAAUAUGAAAUUGAUACCAACAAAAAAGUUUAACACGAAUAUUUUAUAGCAUCAUCAAUAAAUUAAUUUUAACAAAAAUUGAUAAAGAUUCAGCAUGAUUAAACAAUUUAAUAAUAUAAAUAGUAAAAAUGUGAAAUUUAAUUUAAUAAUAUAAAUAGUAGACAUAAAUUUUUUUUAAAAAGUUUUUGGGUGUUUAGGAAAAAGUAAAAAUUUAAGAGGAAAAGCAAAAGGAAAAAAAGUUUAUGGGGUUUGGAGGAAGUAAAAGUUUUGGGAAAAAAAUAAAAGGAAAAAAGUGUGGGGGUAGGGGUGAGCAAAACUCGAUUCGAUUCGAAAAAAUCGAAAAAAAUUUGAAUUUCGAGUUAAACGAAUCGAGUUAUUCGAGUUAAUCGAGUUAUUCGAAUCAACUCGAAUUUUUUUUCGAAUUUCGAGUUCGAAUCGAGUUGAGUUUUCGAAUUCGAAUAACUCGAAUAAUUCGAAUAAUUCGAAUAUCAAACUAUAAUAUUUGACAGUUUUACCCUAAACUCCCAAACCUUUUUACUUUUCCCUCAAAACUUUUACUCCUUCCUACUUUCCCCCCAAAACUUUUACUCCCCUCCCCUCCCAACCCCCCAAUCUACCCAAAAUCUAUUUCCCAUCAAAAUUUUACUCCCAAAACCCUCAAAACCUUUUAUUUUCUCCCAAAAUUUUUACUCCUUCCCACUUUUUCCCUAAAACUUUUAUUCCCUUCCCAUCCCACCUCCCACCUCCCACCUACCCCAAACCCUCCCCCCUCCAAUUUUUUUUUAAUAUUUUCCCUCCAAAAUUUUACUCCCCCUAUUUACUUUCCCUCAAACUUUUAUUCCUCAAAACUUUUUAUUUUCCCCCUAAACUUUUACUUAUCACCCUUUACUCUCAAAUAAAAAAUCAAAAUUAUCCAAAAAAAAUCACUAAACAUAAAUAGUAAUAAUUUUAUUUAUAUUUACUAUUUAUAUUAUUAAAUUAAAUUUCACAUUUUAUAUUAUUUAUAUUAUUGAAUUGUUUAGUCAUAUUGAAUAUUUAUAUUAAAAUUGAAUUAUUAAUUAUGCCACAAAAUAUUCGUGUUAAAAUUUUAUAUUAGUAUCAAUUUCACAUUUUAUUUUUAAAAUAAAUUUUAUUAAAAAAUCAUAUUUUUACAUUUAAUAUAUUUUUUAAUUCCAAAAUACAUAGUGACAAGAAUCUGAAGAUAAUUGAAACAACUAAGCAAGCAAAGAAGCUAAUCAGUAUAUAAAAAAUUAAUAAAUAAAUUAUGAGGUGAUGAAAGUUAAUAACAAAAUCGAUUAAGGUAGACAAAUUUUAUUACGAUGGGUGACAAUGGUUAUAAGGACCCAAAAUUAUUUUUUAAAAUUUAACUCGAACAAAUAUAUUCGAUUCGAUUCGAUUCGAAUUCCAUCUCACUCGACUCGAUUAGAGAAAACUUCAAAUAAAGUUAGGAUGAUAAAAUGAGAUUCGAAAACUCAAUUAACUCGAAAAUUUUUGAUUCGAUUCGAUUCGAUUCGAUCGAAUGCUCACCCAUAGUUGGGGGUUUGAGGAAAAGUAAUUUUUUUGGGAGAAAGUAAAAGGGUUUGAGGGGGGUUGGGAGAAAGGAAGUAAAAGGAUUUAGUAUUUGGUUUAUUCGAGUUAUUCGAAUUCGAAAAAUUAACUUCAUUCAAACUCGAAAUUUAAAAAAAAAUCAAGUUGAUUUGAUUAACUCAAUUGGAAUAAUUCAAAAUUCAAUUUUUUAUUUUAUUUUUUGAGUCAAAUAGAAUUUUGCUCAUCCCUAACUAGAACUAUACCAAAACAAUCACCCUAAAAUUAAAAAUUUAUUUGUUACCCUUUAAAAGGUAUAAAAUUAUAAACUAAUAAUAGUAAAAAAAAUAGUCUUUUAAGAAAUUUAUAAAGAUGUUUUAAAUGUUAGGCCAGAACUGUUAGGUUAGAACUGUAGUAAGUUUGUUGUAGAAUUGAAAUUAACGAUGCGUUAAUGCAUUAAGUUUGCAUUCAAUGAUAAUAAAUUUAUGACCUUUUCGAAACUGUACUUAAUCUCCUUUUCAUAGCGUAUAUAUAUAUAUAUAAUAUUAUGUAUGCUUUUUACAUUGUUUAUUAAGGUUUAUUACCUUUUUGAAACGGCAGUUAGUUAUGUUUUCGUACUGUAUUUAUGUUAUUUUACAACCUUUAUAAUAUCAUAAAUGAAUAUUAAAAAAUCAAGAAUUCAUAUAUAUAUAUAUAUAUAUGAAAUUAUUUAUAAUAAUUUUAUUUGUCCAAUAUUAUAGAUCUUAAACUUUAUUUUAAAUUAUUAAAUGAGUAUAUUUUAAAAGAUAUAUACAAAAAAACACAUGCAACUUAGGAGAUAAAAACUAAUAAUAAAUAUAUAUAAGUAGGAACGUAAGCAUAGAGUUAUCUAAGGGUGGGGCUACCCUUUAAGCCCGAAGGCCUGCUCAAAAUAUGGGAGGGUUUAUAUAAGAAUACAAAAUCUGAAAAAUGGACUUUGGCACAAGUUUAAACCUAUUUUUUUAUUCAAGUCAAGCUUUAGAUAGAAUCUUUUAAGCCCGAACCCGACCUAACCCUAAUACUAUAUGAAAUAUAAAUAUACUAUUUAUAUUUAUAAAAUAUAAAUAUAUAAUUUAACCCUAAACUCAAAAUCCUUCAACUAAAUCCAAUUCUCAUUCAAUAAAACUCAAACCCAAGCUAAUUCUAAACCCUACUUCGUACCCAACCUAAUAGAAGUCUAUUUUCAAUUUCAUUUUUGCCGUCAAACAUAUCUCGUAGGGCUAAGGAAAAAAAUCAAUAAACCGGUUUGAACCGAUGUAUUCGGUUUGGUUCGAUUUGGGUUGAUAUUAUCACUCGAAUCUUACAACUUAGUUUAGAUUCGGAUUUUUUUCACAUAAAACUUAUUUUAUCCGAAUUAAAUCUAAUGAAAAAAAUUAUAUAUAAAAGAAUAGUCCGAAUAGAAUAAUAAAUUGAUCAUUUCAAUGUCUAUAUGACUAAUUCAUUUAACCCUAUUAUUAUUAUUAUUAUUAUUAUUAUUAUUAUUAAAACUAGAUGUGAUUAUACAAAAAAUUAAAGUUACAAAAAUAUUUCAUAAAAAAAAAUUAUGACAGUAUACUUUUGUAUUAGAGUAAGUGAAUCAUUUCUUAAAUAUAAUAAUUAUAAGUAUAAGAAAAUAGUUUAUUAAACUUUAUAAUAUUUGAUUAAUAAAAAAUUUAUUCACAACUUGUCAAUUAUAAAUAUUUGAUAGUUAUAAAUUUAUGACAUAUUGUAAUGACUCAGUUAUAACUAAUUAAAAGAAAUGACGCAAUGGACAUUUCGUAUAUGAAUGAUUUAUAUAUUAAUUCUUCUUUUAACAACUUUAAAUAAUAUAUCAACUUAAUAAUUUAACUUAAAAUAAAUUUUUAAAUCAUCCAUAAAUCAAGAAUUAUAUAAGAUUUUUGGUACCAAUGCGAUAUUUCUUUUAGUUUUUUUGGCAAAUUGACAGCAGUAUAUAUCAUUAUUGCAUAUUUUCCAUAAAUUAUCCUCUCUCUUUUUAAUUAUGAUGUUUUUAGUUUUUUUAGUAUGAUUAACAUCUUCCAAAGAUGUCAAAUUUGAGACAGACAAUCAGACAAACAACAAGUGUUUUUUAAAUGAUGGUUUCGAUUAUGAAAGAGAAUGCUGUGGAAGAAAAAUGUUUUUUAUUUAAAUGAACUGCAGAGAGCAAAAUAAUAUUUUAAUAUUUUCUCAAAUAAGAUUCUUUAUUUUUACUCUUUUAAAAAUUUUUAAAAACAACUUAUGUAGUUAUUACAUCAAUUCAAAUCUGUUCAUGGGUCGGACCACCCGUUCAAGCUUAAAGGCUCACCAAAAAAAUAUGAAGGUUUAAACAAAAAUACAGUGCUUAAAAAAUGGGGUUGAGUCAAAUUUAAGACCCAUUUCUAUAUGGGCAAGAUUUUUUGGCUUAUGCUUGGCCCGACCCGAAUAUAUUAUGUUAUAAAAAUAAUUAUAUUAAUUAUAUUAAUUAUACAUGCUAAAUAAUAAUUAUAUGUAUUUAUAUUUAUAUUUAAUCACUAACCCAAUAACAAUUAAACCCAUUACUCAAAACCUNNNNNNNNNNNNNNNNNNNNNNNNNNNNNNNNNNNNNNNNNNNNNNNNNNNNNNNNNNNNNNNNNNNNNNNNNNNNNNNNNNNNNNNNNNNNNNNNNNNNUUAUUUGUGUUUUUAAUAUAAUAAAAUAUUAAUUAUAUUUAUGGCAGUGUUUAUUAAUAUAAAUAUUUUUUAAUGUGUUAAAAAACUUUUUAUUUUAGUGUUUUUUUAUGUAUUUAGUGCAUUACAUUAUUUAAAAAGUUUAUUUUAAAAUAAAAACUAAUGUAAAAAAAUUAAACAUGAGCAAUUGGGUCGGACUUGAAUAAAAAAAUAAGUUUAUUUUUUGGAUUAGACUAAAGUCAUAUUUAAAAAAUUAAUCUAAACCCAUCUCGAAUUCAAUCCGUCUCAUAAGUACACCUCUCCAUCAGUCCCAAUAAUUAACCAUUAAUUGUAAAAUGACAUUAUGGAAUAACAUUUGCAUACCCAUACGAUUGUCCAUUUAAUAUAAUUUUAGUAUAAAGUUUUCACCUAUUAAUUGAUGAAUAAUUUGUAUGUUAAGUUUAUUGUUUUAAUGAAUAAAAUGGUAUAAUAAAUUACGUUAAAUAUAUUUAAUAUACUAAAUUAUAUGAUUUAUUUUAUCGCCGAGAUAUGAUUAUGUAUUAAUAAAAAAUUAUUUUCACAGGUAUUUAUAAUAUAAUUUUGAAACAAUCUCGUUAUAGAUUCUGAUCAUGACUGUUCUCUUUUAAGAUAAUGCCUAAACUUCAACACACUCAAACUCACGUCCUCCUGCAUAGACAACAAUACCCGUGCCAAUCGAGUUAAAACUCAAUCCACAAUUUAAAAAAAAAAACUUGAACAUAUAACUAUCAGUCUCCAAAUUUAAAUCAAAUUUGAAUUUUAUAUACCUACUAAUUUUUUCUUUUAAAAAAUGAAUUGCUCAAAAUAAAUAAAAAAUAGAUUUAAUUUCAUAAAUACAUUUUCACAUCAACACUAAACAUUAUUUUUUAUUCACAUAAAUACAAUUAAUAUAAAUGGAAUAAUUUAUCUAUUUUUAAAUAUAAAAAAUAACCAACGUUAAUGUAUUGAAUUGGGUGGAAAUGGAAAUGUUAACAGAAAGUGGAAGGAAUGAUUGCCUUUUGGUGCAGUAAUGUCUUUUUUUAGUUUCAAAUGCUUACAUCUGAUUCAACAAAUCCUGAGUCACGGACUCAAAAAAUGUGCUUUCUAUUUUUUAAUGAGUUUCCAUUUCGGAUUUGAAAAUUAUAAGAAUGAAGGAGAUAUUUUGCGGGAUGAAAAUAAAAUAAAAAAUUCCCAACUUUACUUAUUUAUAAUUAGAUAUAAAAUUCAUUGCCAUAAUUAGCUGUAGACAUCAUAUAAAUAAUUUGACGAGGAAUCAAGAAGAACGGAUUGAAUAAUACAAGCUUUUUCAUGUCCUUUAGAGAUAUAAUAAACACUCAAAGAAAAACACUUUGAAGAAAAAUAUUAUUCUGUAUCAAUUCUCCCAAGGAAAUUAAAGCAACAAUGAUACAAACUAAAACAAUGGAGUUAUGACAUCAUAACUUUAUAAAAAAACCAAACACACAAACACCAUAAGGAAGUUGAGAAAGAAUGGAGGGAAAAGUGAUGACUUAAUUAGCAUUGGAACCCAGUUGGAACAUUCCUUGAACAAACGUUGAGGAGCAAGCUAAGAGAAACAGGGAUAUUAAGGUUGAUGCCUAAGAUGUUAGCUCUAAUAGCAGUGCAAAGGCAAGCAGCAGCUUCGAGGUCGACAAGGCCAUUGAGAAGGGAACAGCAUGGCAUCACUGGAGGUGAACCAACGGUGACAUUGACUAAGUUAAGCACAUUGGCACAUACACCUAAUUUGAGGGCAUCUCUAGGGCACCUGCCUCGUGCGGAUGGAGUAGGGGUGGGGGUGUUGGGGUUUGGGUUUGGCCUUGGUUUAGGGGUGGGUGAAGAGCA
This 22161-nucleotide long non-coding RNA is filed under the name Gossypium raimondii (Peruvian cotton). Its description in RNAcentral is "long non-coding RNA (GRAI_LNC005069)". Lineage: Eukaryota; Viridiplantae; Streptophyta; Magnoliopsida; Malvales; Malvaceae. The record is from RNAcentral.